This 441-nucleotide ribosomal RNA is filed under the name uncultured bacterium. RNAcentral's name for it is "partial 16S ribosomal RNA". It matches the Rfam family "Bacterial small subunit ribosomal RNA", at positions 339 to 795 of the family's 1533-position model. The record is from RNAcentral.
CUACGGGUCGCUGCAGUGAGGAAUAUUGCACAAUGGGGGGAACCCUGAUGCAGCAACGCCGCGUGGAGGAUGACGCAUUUCGGUGUGUAAACUCCUUUUAUAUGUCAAGAAAAUGACGGUAGCAUAUGAAUAAGCACCGGCUAACUCCGUGCCAGCAGCCGCGGUGGAAUACGGAGGGUGCAAGCGUUACUCGGAAUCACUGGGCGUAAAGGACGCGUAGGCGGGUUGGAAAGUCAGGUGUGAAAUCCUACAGCUUAACUGUAGAACUGCACUUGAAACUUCUAAUCUAGAGUAUGGGAGGGGGAGAUGGAAUUAGUGGUGUAGGGGUAAAAUCCGUAGAUAUCACUAGGAAUACCUAAAGCGAAGGCGAUCUCCUGGAACAUUACUGACGCUAAGGCGUGAAAGCGUGGGGAGCAAACAGGAUUAGAUACCCCAGUAGUC